RNAcentral lists this ribosomal RNA (336 nucleotides) under Triticum aestivum (bread wheat). RNAcentral's name for it is "partial small subunit ribosomal RNA". Lineage: Eukaryota; Viridiplantae; Streptophyta; Magnoliopsida; Poales; Poaceae. The record is from RNAcentral.
AUGGCGCCAUGCCGAGCCACCGUCGUGAAGACGAGAGCGGUGUGCGUGCUCCUCCUCCUCCUCCUCCUGUCGGCCGACGUGCGGCCACAGUCCGUGGAUGGGCAGGCGCCACCGGCUCCAGAGGUGGCCGUGACAAUCGAAGCAGACGCCGACAGCCGCGGCAAUGGCACCCGCGCCGGCGGCGCUGGGAACACCGCGAGGAAGGUGCUGAGCACCAUCGACUGUCAGAUCUGCGAGUCGACGUGCCGGGUCAAGUGCCUCAUCAACAACCUCUUCCAGUGGGGCACCUGCUACCAGCGCUGCAAGGCCGACAAUUGCAACGACUGGUGUAGGUAG